RNAcentral lists this ribosomal RNA (1465 nucleotides) under uncultured beta proteobacterium. RNAcentral's name for it is "16S ribosomal RNA". It matches the Rfam family "Bacterial small subunit ribosomal RNA". Lineage: Bacteria; Pseudomonadati; Pseudomonadota; Betaproteobacteria. The record is from RNAcentral.
GAGUUUGAUCCUGGCUCAGAUUGAACGCUGGCGGCAUGCCUUACACAUGCAAGUCGAACGGCAGCACGGGUGCUUGCACCUGGUGGCGAGUGGCGAACGGGUGAGUAAUACAUCGGAACAUGUCCUGUAGUGGGGGAUAGCCCGGCGAAAGCCGGAUUAAUACCGCAUACGAUCUACGGAUGAAAGCGGGGGACCUUCGGGCCUCGCGCUAUAGGGUUGGCCGAUGGCUGAUUAGCUAGUUGGUGGGGUAAAGGCCUACCAAGGCGACGAUCAGUAGCUGGUCUGAGAGGACGACCAGCCACACUGGGACUGAGACACGGCCCAGACUCCCACGGGAGGCAGCAGUGGGGAAUUUUGGACAAUGGGCGAAAGCCUGAUCCAGCAAUGCCGCGUGUGUGAAGAAGGCCUUCGGGUUGUAAAGCACUUUUGUCCGGAAAGAAAUCCUUGGCUCUAAUACAGUCGGGGGAUGACGGUACCGGAAGAAUAAGCACCGGCUAACUACGUGCCAGCAGCCGCGGUAAUACGUAGGGUGCGAGCGUUAAUCGGAAUUACUGGGCGUAAAGCGUGCGCAGGCGGUUUGCUAAGACCGAUGUGAAAUCCCCGGGCUCAACCUGGGAACUGCAUUGGUGACUGGCAGGCUGGAGUAUGGCAGAGGGGGGUAGAAUUCCACGUGUAGCAGUGAAAUGCGUAGAGAUGUGGAGGAAUACCGAUGGCGAAGGCAGCCCCCUGGGCCAAUACUGACGCUCAUGCACGAAAGCGUGGGGAGCAAACAGGAUUAGAUACCCUGGUAGUCCACGCCCUAAACGAUGUCAACUAGUUGUUGGGGAUUCAUUUCCUUAGUAACGUAGCUAACGCGUGAAGUUGACCGCCUGGGGAGUACGGUCGCAAGAUUAAAACUCAAAGGAAUUGACGGGGACCCGCACAAGCGGUGGAUGAUGUGGAUUAAUUCGAUGCAACGCGAAAAACCUUACCUACCCUUGACAUGGUCGGAAUCCCGCUGAGAGGUGGGAGUGCUCGAAAGAGGACCGGCGCACAGGUGCUGCAUGGCUGUCGUCAGCUCGUGUCGUGAGAUGUUGGGUUAAGUCCCGCAACGAGCGCAACCCUUGUCCUUAGUUGCUACGCAAGAGCACUCUAAGGAGACUGCCGGUGACAAACCGGAGGAAGGUGGGGAUGACGUCAAGUCCUCAUGGCCCUUAUGGGUAGGGCUUCACACGUCAUACAAUGGUCGGAACAGAGGGUUGCCAACCCGCGAGGGGGAGCUAAUCCCAGAAAACCGAUCGUAGUCCGGAUUGCACUCUGCAACUCGGGUGCAUGAAGCUGGAAUCGCUAGUAAUCGCGGAUCAGCAUGCCGCGGUGAAUACGUUCCCGGGUCUUGUACACACCGCCCGUCGCACCAUGGGAGUGGGUUUUACCAGAAGUGGCUAGUCUAACCGCAAGGAGGACGAAAACCACGGUAGGAUUCAUG